Molecule: ribosomal RNA, 544 nt
Filed under: uncultured soil bacterium
Lineage: Bacteria
Description: bacterial SSU rRNA
Rfam family: Bacterial small subunit ribosomal RNA
Source: RNAcentral
AGGACGAACGCUGGCGGCGCGCUUAACACAUGCAAGUCGAGCGAGAACCGGGACUUCGGUCCCGGGGACAGCGGCGAACGGGUGAGUAACACGUGGGUAAUCGACCCUCGGCACCGGGAUAGCCCGAGGAAACUCGGAUUAAUACCGGAUGGCCCCUCCGACUCUCGAGUCGGUCGGGAAAGGUAGCUUAGGCCUCUGGCCGGGGACGAGCCCGCGGCGGAUUAGCUUGUUGGUGGGGUAAUGGCCUACCAAGGCGACGAUCCGUAGCUGGUCUGAGAGGACGAUCAGCCACACUGGGACUGAGACACGGCCCAGACUCCUACGGGAGGCAGCAGUGGGAAUCUGCGCAAUGGGCGAAAGCCUGACGCAGCGACGCCGCGUGAGGGAAGAAGGCCUUCGGGUUGUAAACCUCUUUCGAGGAGGGACGAAGCUACGUCGGGUGAACAGCCCGAGAGGGUGACCGGUACCUCCGAAGAAGAACGACCCCCGGACUAAACCUACGUACGCCAGCCACGGCCGACGGUAACUCGUAGGACGGCGGCGU